This 1645-nucleotide ribosomal RNA is filed under the name Helicotylenchus dihystera. Its description in RNAcentral is "SSU rRNA". It matches the Rfam family "Eukaryotic small subunit ribosomal RNA". The record is from RNAcentral. Lineage: Eukaryota; Metazoa; Nematoda; Chromadorea; Rhabditida; Hoplolaimidae.
GGUAAUUCUGGAGCUAAUACAUGCACCAAAGCUCCGAUCCUCGCGGAGAGGAGCGCAUUUGUUCGCCACAAAACCAAGCGCCCUUCUGGGCGUCCAUUGCUGAACCAGAACAACUCAGCUGAUCGCACGGUCUUGCACCGGCGACGUGUCUUUCAAGUGUCUGCCUUAUCAACUUUCGAUGGUAGUGUACCUGACUACCAUGGUUGUGACGGGUAACGGAGGAUAAGGGUUCGACUCCCGAGAAGGGGCCUGAGAAAUGGCCACUACGUCUAAGGAUGGCAGCAGGCGCGCAAAUUACCCACUCUCAACGCGAGGAGGUAGUGACGAGAAAUAACAAGACCGUUCUCUUACGAGGCCGGUUAUUGGAAUGGGUACAAUUUAAACCCUUUAACGAGUAUCUAUGAGAGGGCAAGUCUGGUGCCAGCAGCCGCGGUAAUUCCAGCUCUCAAAAUGAAUAGAAUUAUUGCUGCGGUUAAAAAGCUCGUAGUUGGAUCUGUGCCGACUGGCCGGUCCACCCUCUGGGUGCGCACUGGUUCGGUUGGCUUUUCCGCCGGAGUGCCUGGCGUUGGUGUGCUCGCAAGGGUGUGCCAGCGCGGGUCCGGCAAGUUUACUUUGAACAAAUCAGAGUGCUUCAAACAGGCGUCUCGCCUGAAUGUUCGUGCAUGGAAUAAUAGAAGAGGAUUUCGGUCCGAUUUUAUUGGUUUUGCUGACCGAGAUAAUGGUUAACAGAGACAAACGGGGCCAUUCGUAUUGCUGCGUGAGAGGUGAAAUUCUUGGACCGUAGCAAGACGGACUACAGCGAAAGCAUUUGGCAAGAAUGUCUUCAUUAAUCAAGAACGAAAGUCAGAGGUUCGAAGGCGAUCAGAUACCGCCCUAGUUCUGACCGUAAACGAUGCCAACUAGCGAUCCGCCGGCGGAUUCAUUCGCCCUGGUGGGGAGCUUCCCGGAAACGAAAGUCUUCCGGUUCCGGGGGAAGUAUGGUUGCAAAGCUGAAACUUAAAGGAAUUGACGGAAGGGCACCACCAGGAGUGGAGCCUGCGGCUUAAUUUGACUCAACACGGGGAAACUCACCCGGCCCGGACACCGUAAGGAUUGACAGAUUGAUAGCUUUUUCAUGAUUCGGUGGAUGGUGGUGCAUGGCCGUUCUUAGUUCGUGGAGCGAUUUGUCUGGUUUAUUCCGAUAACGAGCGAGACUCUGGCCUACUAAAUAGUUGGCGCAUUGCUACUGUGCGCACUACACUUCUUAGAGGGAUUUUCGGUGUUCAGCCGCACGAAAUUGAGCAAUAACAGGUCUGUGAUGCCCUUAGAUGUCCGGGGCUGCACGCGCGCUACACUGGCAAAAUCAGCGUGCUUGUCCUUCCCCGAAAGGGGUUGGUAAACCCGUGAAAAUUUGCCGUGAUUGGGAUCGGACAUUGCAAUUAUUGUCCGUGAACGAGGAAUUCCUUGUAGGGGCGAGUCAUCAACUCGCUCUGAAUACGUCCCUGCCCUUUGUACACACCGCCCGUCGCUGCCCGGGACUGAGCCAUUUCGAGAAACUCGGGGAUUGUUGGUCUGUCAGCUCUCGGGCUGCCGUUCCGGCGAGAACCGAUUUAAUCGCAGUGGCUUGAACCGGGCAAAAAGUCGACAAAAGUCGUAACAAGGUAGC